UACAGAGGUCUCAAGCGUUGUUCGGAUUCAUUGGGCGUAAAGGGUGCGUAGGCGGCGCGGUAAGUCGGGUGUGAAAUCUCGGAGCUUAACUCCGAAACUGCAUUCGAUACUGCCGUGCUUGAGGACUGGAGAGGAGACUGGAAUUUACGGUGUAGCGGUGAAAUGCGUAGAUAUCAGGAGGAACACCGAUGGCGAAGGCAGGUCUCUGGGCAUUAACUGACGCUGAGGAGCGAAAGCAUGGGGAGCGAAUAGG
Molecule: ribosomal RNA, 253 nt
Filed under: uncultured bacterium
Lineage: Bacteria
Description: partial 16S ribosomal RNA
Rfam family: Bacterial small subunit ribosomal RNA
Source: RNAcentral